Molecule: ribosomal RNA, 1235 nt
Filed under: uncultured prokaryote
Description: partial 16S ribosomal RNA
Rfam family: Bacterial small subunit ribosomal RNA
Source: RNAcentral
CCGCAUGGUUUUCCGGGAAACUGGACCUGGCGCUAUGAGAGGAGCUCGCGUUGGAUUAGCUAGUUGGUGGGGUAAUGGCUUACCAAGGCAUCGAUCCAUAGCCGGCCUGAGAGGGUGAUCGGCCACACUGGAACUGAGACACGGUCCAGACUCCUACGGGAGGCAGCAGUGGGGAAUUUUGCGCAAUGGGGGAAACCCUGACGCAGCAACGCCGCGUGGGUGAAGAAGCAUCUUGGUGUGUAAAGCCCUGUCGACAGAGACUAAAGUUCAUAUGGUAUAGAUGUGACUGUAUCUGUAGAGGAAGCCCCGGCUAACUCCGUGCCAGCAGCCGCGGUAAUACGGAGGGGGCAAGCGUUAUUCGGAAUUACUGGGCGUAAAGGGCGCGUAGGCGGUUCGAUAAGUGGGGAGUGAAAGCCCCGGGCUCAACCCGGGAACUGCGUUUGAAACUGGGUUUCUUGAAUACAGGAGAGGAAGAUAGAAUUCCAGGUGUAGCGGUGGAAUGCGUAGAUAUCUGGAGGAACACCAGUUGCGAAGGCGAUUCACUGGACUAAUAUUGACGCUGAGGCUCGAAAGCGUGGGGAGCGAACAGGAUUAGAUACCCUGGUAGUCCACGCCGUAAUCGAUGAAUACUAGGUGUCGGGACGUUACGACUUGGUGCCGUAAGCAAACGCGUUAAGUAUUCCGCCUGGGGAGUACGCUCGCAAGAGUGAAACUCAAAGGAAUUGACGGGGGCCCGCACAAGCGGUGGAGGAUGUGGUUUAAUUCGAAGCAACGCGAAGAACCUUACCAAGACUUGACAUGGUAGUGACCGUACGAGAAAUCGUAUUUUAUACUUCGGAACACACUCCACACAGGUGCUGCAUGGCUGUCGUCAGCUCGUGUCGUGAGAUGUUGGGUUAAGUCCCGCAACGAGCGCAACCCUCGUUUUCAGUUGUCAUCAGGUAUUCGGACAGCGACCCUCUAGAGAGACUGCCGCGAAUAACGCGGAGGAAGGUGGGGACGACGUCAAGUCAUCAUGGCCCUUACGUCUUGGGCUACACACGUGCUACAAUGGUCGGUACAGCGGGUAGCGAAAUCGCGAGAUGGAGCCAAUCCCUUAAAGCCGGCCUCAGUUCGGAUUGCAGUCUGCAACUCGACUGCAUGAAGGUGGAAUCGCUAGUAAUCGCGGAUCAGCACGCCGCGGUGAUACGUUCCCGGGCAUUGUACACACCGCCCGUCAAGCCAUGGAAGAAGGG